Molecule: ribosomal RNA, 465 nt
Filed under: uncultured bacterium
Lineage: Bacteria
Description: partial 16S ribosomal RNA
Rfam family: Bacterial small subunit ribosomal RNA
Source: RNAcentral
GACGAACGCUGGCGGCGUGCUUAACACAUGCAAGUCGAACGGAAAGGCCCCUUUUGGGGUACUCGAGUGGCGAACGGGUGAGUAACACGUGAGUAACCUGCCCUUGACUUCGGGAUAACUUCAGGAAACUGGGGCUAAUACCGGAUAGGAAUCCUUGCUGCAUGGUGGGGGUUGGAAAGCUUCGGCGGUUUUGGAUGGACUCGCGGCUUAUCAGCUUGUUGGUGGGGUAGUGGCUUACCAAGGCUUUGACGGGUAGCCGGCCUGAGAGGGCGACCGGCCACAUUGGGACUGAGAUACGGCCCAGACUCCUACGGGAGGCAGCAGGGGGGAAUAUUGCACAAUGGGCGGAAGCCUGAUGCAGCAACGCCGCGUGCGGGAUGACGGCCUUCGGGUUGUAAACCGCUUUCAGCAGGGGCGAAGCUUGUGGUGACGGUACCUGCAGAAGAAGCACCGGCUAACUACGUG